UACGAAGGGGGCUAGCGUUGUUCGGAAUUACUGGGCGUAAAGCGCACGUAGGCGGAUAUUUAAGUCAGGGGUGAAAUCCCAGAGCUCAACUCUGGAACUGCCUUUGAUACUGGGUAUCUUGAGUAUGGAAGAGGUAAGUGGAAUUCCGAGUGUAGAGGUGAAAUUCGUAGAUAUUCGGAGGAACACCAGUGGCGAAGGCGGCUUACUGGUCCAUUACUGACGCUGAGGUGCGAAAAGCGUGGGGAGCCAAACAGGG
Molecule: ribosomal RNA, 256 nt
Filed under: uncultured bacterium
Lineage: Bacteria
Description: partial 16S ribosomal RNA
Rfam family: Bacterial small subunit ribosomal RNA
Source: RNAcentral